This 254-nucleotide ribosomal RNA is filed under the name uncultured bacterium. RNAcentral's name for it is "partial 16S ribosomal RNA". It matches the Rfam family "Bacterial small subunit ribosomal RNA", at positions 524 to 776 of the family's 1533-position model. The record is from RNAcentral.
UACGGAGGGGGGCUAGCGUUGUUCGGAAUUACUGGGCGUAAAGCGCACGUAGGCGGCUUUGUAAGUUAGAGGUGAAAGCCCAGGGCUUAACCCUGGAAUUGCCUUUAAGACUGCAUCGCUAGAAUCGUGGAGAGGUGAGUGGAAUUCCGAGUGUAGAGGUGAAAUUCGUAGAUAUUCGGAAGAACACCAGUGGCGAGGGCGACUCACUGGACACGUAUUGACGCUGAGGUGCGAAAGCGUGGGGAGCAAACAGG